UGGGUUUUUACCAUGUUGGUUAGGCUGGUCUUGAACUCCUGACCUCAAGCAAUCCUCCCGCCUCAGCCUCCUAAAGUGCUGGGAUUACAGGUGUGAGCCACUGUGCCCGGCCCCAGUACAUAGAUUCUGACAACACACACUACUUCUUGUGGUUAUUACCUCUGUCUUACUUCAGUGUUCGUGUUUAGAUUUUUCCUCUCCCUCUAAUAUGUUUUAUUGAAAGUAACUUCUUUUAUUAAAUGACACCUCUGAAAUAUGUAGUGCAGUUCCUGUUCUCCUGGCUGGACCCUGACUGAUGCCAUGGGGAAAGCCCUCGGGCUCGUGGACCUUAAAUUCCAGGUCCUGUUGUGCCCAACUCAUGAUUUAUCCAGGUCACACCAGUCUGGUCUGUCACAGUAAGAGGGCACCAUCACAUACACUAUAAUAUGAAUCAUGACCCCCGGAGUUGUGUGGAGUUUCUGCAUCUCUCCCUCCCCACUGUGGCUACCCUCAUCCAGCAACCAUCCUGUCUCUCACCGGUAUUACCGCAGCUGAGACCCAGGUCUUAAGGAAGCUGAGACCCAGGCCAGCAGGGGCCUCACAGCUUGGAAAAAGAGGAGGGUGUAAGACUCUGGAUGAAGCUGAGAGAUCCUUCCAUGCUUGGCUGAGAGACUACACAGACAUGAGCUUCAGGAGACUCCAAAGCCUCGGAUCCCCUUCUAAACUAGCACUGAAUUCUGAUUGGCUGUCUUUGCCUGCCUCAGUUUGUUCCUUUUACUGAUUGGCUAGGUUCUUCUGCCCAUGGCAGAGCCCUGCUCCAGCCACCGGAUCCUCCCACCUGCCACAGUGUCACCUGGGAUUGGCUGGGCUCUGAAAGGCCAGGCUGGCUUGACUCUUGCCAUCAUCAGAUUCUUCCUCAUUAAACAAAUGAAUCACAAUCCUAAUUAAUUUGAGCAACAGAAUUUAUGUAACUACUCCCAGCAGGAUGUCUGCUCUCAGUCAGCAGAGAGAUUACUUCCUCUCUCUGGGAAAUUCCAGCCUUGCUGGUCAAUAAGCCUUAAUGAUGACUGAAAUCUCCCAUCUGUCUCUGCUCAGGGCAGGUAACCCCUACUAAGCAGACACCCAGUUGGCUCGAGGCAGUACCCCGGGCACCGGCAGGACAAGGACAACGAUCUCCCAGCCUAGAUGUGUCCUGAGCCACAUGGAGCACACAGAUUACAGGAUCUGACUCCCAUUUGGGCCUUCCACCUCCGCUGGCCUAAGCAGUCAAGUGUCAGAGAGCACUGGACCUAACAGCUCCCUCACCAGAGCAGCUGUGAUUCCUUCUUCAUUUCCAGCAGGGAAGACCCAACAACUUUUAUAAUAUGGGAUUUCUUUUAUUCUCAUGAUAAUAAUGUUCAUUGUGGAAAAUAAAAAAAAAUGAUAAAAUAAAAAUCAGCCAGAAUUCCAACUUCUGGAGAUUUUGGUGUCUUUCUGCAAAGUUCCUAUGCACAUAGAUACUUUAUAAAAUUAUGAACAUACUGUACAUACAGUUUUGGAAUAUGCCUUUUUCCUUCUGUCAUGAAAAAGUCUUCAAAUGCCUUUUAACAGCUACACAAUAGUUCACUACAUGAACCAACUCAAAUGUAACUAUUUUUGGCCUUUUGUUAUAAAUAACACAAGAACCCUCAGUCUUUGUUACAUAAUGUCCUAACAGAGUAGGGGAAAUGCUCCCCAAUCCGGUGCAAUGUCCUGUGCCCAGGGAAACCAAUU
Molecule: long non-coding RNA, 1731 nt
Filed under: Homo sapiens (human)
Lineage: Eukaryota; Metazoa; Chordata; Mammalia; Primates; Hominidae
Description: HSALNT0174842
Source: RNAcentral